Cotesia glomerata is the source of this 563-nucleotide long non-coding RNA. RefSeq lists it as uncharacterized. The record is from RefSeq and is a predicted model, not a curated record. The transcript is spliced from 2 exons. Lineage: Eukaryota; Metazoa; Arthropoda; Insecta; Hymenoptera; Braconidae.
AAAAUUUACAAGAACGGUAUGUAAAUAUUAAAUUUCGGUAAUUAACCUAACAAUAUCGUAUGUCAUUACAAUAUUUAAUUAGCGAACUAAUAACAAAAUUUAUUUAAUUAAAAAAAAAGUAACUAUUACUAAUUAUGCAGGUUAAUUUUUGCGGAUGAGAAUAAAGGUUUUUUCCAAUUACAUCAACAAGAUCCUGAUGCAGUAUUCUGGACACCAGACAAUACGCAUUAUAAAGAUAUUAAUGCCGCAACUAAAAUUCCUUUAAUAACCAAGGAACGAGUAGAACUUUUUUUGCAGAGGUAUGAUGUGCUGAAAAAUCUUGGCAAAGAAAUGUACGAAAAUCGAUAUCUUCUUCAUGCCAGGAUAGCACAAAGUAAUAGCUCAAUUUUCAUUCAAGGACAUUGUUUGGCCCAAAUGAAAAAAUCAGUGCAGUAUAAAUAGUGAUAUUCAAAUGUCCAAUACUGGUUUUAUUGAAGGGACUCAUUGCGAAUGUGCUGUAGGUGGUGGUGAUACAGCUCAUUGUAAACACGUCGCAGUACUUCUUUGGGCAAUGGAAGAAAUGG